This 335-nucleotide unclassified non-coding RNA is filed under the name soil metagenome. RNAcentral's name for it is "partial contains 5.8S ribosomal RNA, internal transcribed spacer 2, and large subunit ribosomal RNA". The stretch from base 1 to 120 matches the Rfam family "5.8S ribosomal RNA", at positions 35 to 154 of the family's 154-position model. The record is from RNAcentral.
GAUGAAGAACGUAGCGAAAUGCGAUAAGUAAUGUGAAUUGCAGAAUUCAGUGAAUCAUCGAAUCUUUGAACGCACAUUGCGCCCGCUAGUAUUCUGGCGGGCAUGCCUGUUCGAGCGUCAUUUCAACCAUCAAGCCCCUUAGCUUGUGUUGGGGACCUGCGGCUGCCGCAGCCCCCGAAAUGCAGUGGCGGGCUCGUUGUCACACCGAGUGCAGUAAUCAUUCUUCUCUCCGGGCGUGGCGGCGGGUUCCGGCCGUAAAAUCACCAAUUUAUCAAGGUUGACCUCGGAUCAGGUAGGAAUACCCACUGAACUUAAGCAUAUCAAUAAGCGGAGGA